RNAcentral lists this ribosomal RNA (1725 nucleotides) under Citharoides macrolepidotus (large-scale flounder). Its description in RNAcentral is "16S rRNA". It matches the Rfam family "Bacterial large subunit ribosomal RNA". The record is from RNAcentral. Lineage: Eukaryota; Metazoa; Chordata; Actinopteri; Pleuronectiformes; Citharidae.
UGCCCACCAGCUAGCCUCACCCAAUCCCCAGAAAACAACUGACCUACUUAGAUAACCCCAAAUACCCUAAUAACAAAAUACAAUAAACCAUUCUUCCUCCUUAGUACGGGCGACGGAAAAGGACCCAAACGAGAGCAAUAGAAAAAGUACCGUAAGGGAACGCUGAAAGAGAGAUGAAACAGCCCAGUACAGCCCAAAAAAGCAGAGAUUCAUCCUCGUACCUUUUGCAUCAUGAUUUAGCCAGAACCCUUAAGCAAAGAGAACUUUAGUUUAAAUCCCCGAAACGAGGUGAGCUACUCCAAGACAGCCUGUUUAUCAGGGCGAACCCGUCUCUGUGGCAAAAGAGUGGGAAGAGCUUAGAGUAGAGGUGACAAGCCAAUCGAACCCCGUCAUAGCUGGUUGCCUGAGAAUUGGAUAUAAGUUCAGCCUCCCGGGUUCUACCUUCAUAACCAAGAUUUUGUCGCGGGAUACCUAGAAACCGAGAGAGUUAGUCAAAGGAGGGACAGCCCCUUUGAAACAGGACACAACCUUAUCAGGAGGGUAAAGAUUACAUUGACUAAAGGAAAAAUAUUUUGGUAGGCCUUAAAGCAGCCACCCAAACAGAAAGCGUUCAAGCUCAGAUAUAAACACCCCCCUCUUAUUCUAAUAAGUUAAUCUAAACCCCCUAAAUGUACCAGGCCAUCCUAUACCCCUAUAGGAGUGAUUAUGCUAGAAUGAGUAAUAAGAAGACCCAGAUCUUCUCCUCGCACACGUAUAACUCGGAAUGGACAAACCACCGAAUAUUAACGAUCCCAAAUAAAACAGAGGGGCCUGGAAAACUAAACAAAAUAAACAAGAAAACCUUCCAUCACUUAUGUUCGUUAACCCUACACCGGCGUGCUAACAAGGAAAGACUAAAAGAAAGAGAAGGAACUCGGCAAAUACUAACCAAGCCUCGCCUGUUUACCAAAAACACCGCCUCCUGCAAACAAAGAAUAGGAGGUCCCACCUGCCCAGUGACUUUUGUUCAACGGCCGCGGUAUGUUGACCGUGCAAAGGUAGCGUAAUCACUUGUCUUUUAAAUGAGGACCUGUAUGAAAGGUACCACGAGGGCUUAACUGUCUCCUCUCUCAAGUCAAUGAAAUUGAUCUCCCCGUGCAGAAGCGGGGAUAAAACUACAAGACGAGAAGACCCUGUGGAGCUUGAGACGCCUAGGCAGACAACGUCAAUCCCCUCUGAACAAAGACCCAAACCAGUUGGUACCUGCCUUAAUGUCUUCGGUUGGGGCGACCCUGGGGUAACAAAAAACCCCCACAUGGAAUGGGAGCACCAAGCCCACUUUCCACCCAACUCCCACAACUAAGGGCCAUGGCCCUAAUUAACAGAACUUCUGACCAAACUCGAUCCGGCAAGUCCGAUUAAUAAAACGAGUUACCCCAGGGAUAACAGCGCAAUCCCCUUUCAGAGCCCAUAUCGACAAGGGGGUUUACGACCUCGAUGUUGGAUCAGGACAUCCCAGUGGUGCAGCCGCUACUAAGGGUUCGUUUGUUCAACGAUUAAUAGUCCUACGUGAUCUGAGUUCAAACCGGAGCAAUCCAGGUUGGUUUCUAUCUGUAACAUCAUCUUUUCUAGUACGAAAGGACCAAAAAGAAUGAGGCCCCUGCUACAAGUACGCCUCACCCCAACUCGGUGAAACCAUCUCAACCGAAUAAAGGGGGAUAAUCCCUCCGCCAGAGAUAAUGGCAU